CAGACACACUAAACUAUUAAUCGUUAUAUCUCCCAUUAUAUUCCAAGGAUCUUUUAUAUUUUAAGAAAAGUUUAACAAAUUAUCAGAAGUGGAAUAUUACAAGAGUAAACAAACGUGUGUUUGAAACGGAUGCAAAUUUUGCGAAACUCAUAUUACAUAUAGUGUGCAAGAAAAUGAUUAGAAUGGUAAAAUCCUUUCGUCGGUAAUUAGUACACCGUAUUGUUAAUAGUAUGGUGUAUUGACAUUCGGAUAAUCGUAAUAAGCGUAUAGAUAUGGUUAAAUAAUUAUAAAUAAGAGAAGUGAACGAUGUGGAAGAAACUUUUCAACGGCAGGAACACGCCAAAGGUUAAACAAAGUAAGCAAAUAGAAUUUACUAUGUCUACAAUAACUAACAAAUGUUAAUGACAUUAGAGGACACCAAUCAAUAGGCAGUGUGUGAAAAAGUAGCGACAAAGCUAUAGAUAUACCGAACAAAGAGAAAAACAACACUUCAAAAAGCAAAAAAUUAUGGAAAGUACGGUAAGUGCUGGAAAUUAUAGAUAAUACAAAAUUAUCGACAUUCCACUGAAAUAAAGCAAAUCACGAUGUUGAGUGUUACAUUAAAAAAUCCAUAAAUAUGUGAUUCUAAAUGGGUAGGAAGAUUUGACUUUGAACCAUUAUGCAUUGACUAGAUGAAGAAGAGUGGAUAAAAAGUGAUGUGGUAAUAUUCUACCGAGCUAAUGAUUAAUUGCAUAAAGAUACAUUAAAAAUAUAAGACACGUGUUAUAGCACUACUUCGAGAAGUUACUAAUAUUACAGCAAGCAUAUCAAGAGAAAUUAGUUGAAUGGAUAAUUGAGGAAAUCAGAAGCAUACGAUUUCGAGAAUAUUUAGAAUUUGUUUCAAGUGAAAUAUCAAACCAGCAUUUUGAUCAUGGAUCAUCCUUAGAGUGAACACCAGUGACUCGACCAAAUAGAUUAAAAAGCAGAAAAUCUGUGCAGAGACCGUAUAAUGAUGAUUAAUCUCAAACUGUUUAGUAACAAAUGAAGAUAAGCGUAUGUCACAAAUCGUAUUGUACUGAAAGAUGUUAACGCCAAACUUUUACAAAUAAAAUCAACCGAGAUGAACAAAACAUUCGCCGAGAUAACGAAUUUGACAUUCGUACAAUACGAACAAUAUACUAUCAAAAACGAAAGGAGCAAAAAAUAAUACAACUGAUGAAAAUCAGCAUUAUGGAAAAAAGUAAAUCUCCAUUAUCAUGAUCAUUUUGUCAAAGUUGCCAAGAAAGAAAUUCAUGCGGGUGACUUACGAAUAGAUUACCGAGUGAUUGAUAAUAUUAUACAUCGUUCGCUUUGUUAGAUCAUUUGUUAUGUUAAUCUAUCGUCAAUCGAACUUGUGAUAAGUGCAUAUCCCUAUCGUCUCCAUUUAAAUUACAAGUAUUUGCAUAUGAAAUAUAACAAAACACGGUGUAAUAUCUUAAACUGUCCCUUUAUUCUCGAUAUUGCCGUAGCGGUCAUUACAUGUUCUAUUUUCUUAUAUUUAUAUAACUGAUCAAAUUCAAUGUCUAAAGGCUUAUUGAUUCCAACGUGAUAUAAAUUUCUGUAGAAUUCAUAAGUUAUUUCAGGACGUAAAUCGUCAUAAACGCAGUUUCUAACGAAAACUUUAUUUAUAGCUAUACUCUAGCAUUAUAUAAUAGAUUGUAAAAUUUUCUUUUAGUUCGUCUUGAUUUCUUUUCACAAGUAUUGGUCUGAUAUUCAGAAUUUUUUCACUACUUCGUAGCAUAGUAGCGAACCAUAUCGGCACUAAUAGUUGUUUUUAACACAGACAGACAAAUCAAUGUUGUUUCAAUUCAAAGUAAUUCUGAAUGGGAUUAUCAUUGAUCCGUCAUUAAUGAAACUUUCAUUGUUCUUCUGAUAAUCUAUAUCAUAGCUGAAUUCAUCAACCGAAUAUGUACUCAGGGAUUCAUAUUCCUUUUUAUCUAAUCAGCUCAAGCGAAUUACAGACAGAUUUAAUCGUAAUAUGAAAAUCGAUAUAGCUGACAUGAAAAUGUUUCGACCUUCAAAUAUUUGUCAAUGUCUCCAAUUCGAUGAUAGUUUGAUUCUCUUUAGAUGUUCUCCUAUUAAUCUAUGAAAUUCAGUCUUGAGUAUAUUUCAAUACCCAUUCAGGAGUUGUAAAUUUUCAAUAUAUAAUACAUAAUUUUUCAGAAUUGGAUAAAUGUCCCUACGUAUAUUGAAAUAUUUUCUCCUGUGCUUUGUCUCAAUAAUAUUUGAUGUUUUUCUCUUCUAAUUCGUUUAAAGGUAAUGAUAGUAAAACAUUUUAUGAAUCAUUGAAAAUAGUUACUUAGAUCAAUGACACUACGAAUUGAUUUCGUACCCCCAAAUAUAGCUAAACUCUUAAAUAAUUAAACUUUCAUUCUCACAGAGUCACCUGCACUGAUUUCAAAUCAUAUCUUCGUUUUCAACUAAUCCUGCAGGAUAUGCCUCUUAAUCUUCAUUAUAAUAUCGUAUUUUGAUGUCGUCAGGAUUUUUUAAUUUGCCAGAAUGAAUUUUGCUAAGAGCUAGUAUUUUGAAAUCAAAUUUUAUAAUGCAAUUACUGGAUUAUUAUAUGCUAAAAUAUUUCCCCUGCAGCAAAACGGAUAGUUUAUGUUUAAAAAAAACAUUUUUGUACUUUCAUUUUUCGAAGAAUAGAUCAAGCAUUCGCUUUACUCCGAAUUAUAGGUGACUAUUAAUUGAAAAACCUGGAUAAUUUCCGUUUUAUAACGGUGUAUACGUAAUGAAUUAUUGUUUUAUUAAGAAAUAAUUUAACAAGAUAUGAAAGAUUUGUUUAUUAUUACUUACGCUAUUUCUCGACUUUAUCAAGAAAUAAUUUCACACGAUGUGAAAGAUUCGUUAAUUAUUACUUACGCUAUUCUCGACUUUAUUAAGAAAUAAUUUAACACUAUGUGAAAGAUUCGUUAAUUCUUACUUCCUCUAUUUCUCGACUUUAUUAAGAAAUAAUUUAACACGAUAUGAAAGAUUUGUUUAUUAUUACUUACGCUAUUUCUCGACUUUAUUAAGAAAUUAUUUAACACGAUGUGAAAGAUUCGUUUAUUAUUACUUACGCUAUUCUCGAUUUUAUUAAGAGAUAACUUAACACGUUGAGAAGGAUUUGUUUAUUAUUACUCCCGCUAUUUUUCGACUUUAUUAAGAAAUAAUUUAACACGAUAUGAAAGAUUUGUUAAUUCUUACUUCCUCUAUUUUUCGACUUUAUUAAGAAAUAAUUUAACACGAUAUGAAAGAUUUGUUUAUUAUUACUUACGCUAUUUCUCGACUUUAUUAAGAGAUAACUUAACACGUUGAGAAGGAUUUGUUUAUUAUUACUCCCGCUAUUUCUCGACUUUAUUAAGAAAUAAUUUAACACAAUAUGAAAGAUUCGUUUAUUAUUACUUACGCUAUUCUCGACUUUAUUAAGAGAUAACAUAACACGUUGAGAAGGAUUUGUUUAUUAUUACUCCCGCUAUUUUUCGACUUUAUUAAGAAAUAAUUUAACACGAUAUGGAAGAUUCGUUUAUUAUUACUUCCGCUAUUUCUGGACUUUAUUAAGAAAUAAUUUAACACUAUGUGAAAGAUUCGUUAAUUCUUACUUCCUCUAUUUCUCGAUCAUUAAGAAAUAAUUUAACACGUUGUGAAAGAUUUGUUUAUUAUUACUUACGCUAUUUCUCGACUUUAUUAAGAAAUUAUUUAACACGAUGUGAAAGAUUCGUUUAUUAUUACUUAUGCUAUUCUCGACUUUAUUAAGAGAUAACUUAACACGUUGAGAAGGAUUUGUUUAUUAUUACUCCCCCUAUUUCUCCACUUUAUUAAGAAAUAAUUUAACACGAUAUGAAAGAUUUGUUUAUUAUUACUUACGCUAUUUCUCGACUUUAUUAAGAAAUUAUUUAACACGAUGUGAAAGAUUCGUUUAUUAUUAUUACUUACGCUACUUCUUGAUUUUAUUAAGAAAUAAUUUAACACGAUGUGAAAGAUUCGUUUAUUAUUACUUACGCUAUUCUCGACUUUAUUAAGAGAUAACUUAACACGUUGAGAAGGAUUUGUUUAUUAUUACUCCCCCUAUUUCUCCACUUUAUUAAGAAAUAAUUUAACACAAUAUGAAAGAUUUGUUUAUUAUUACUUACGCUAUUUCUCGACUUUACUAAGAAAUAAUUUAACACGUUGUGAAAGAUUCGUUAAUUCUUACUUCCUCUAUUUCUCGAUCAUUAAGAAAUAAUUUAACACGUUGUGAAAGAUUUGUUUAUUAUUACUUACGCUAUUUCUCGACUUUAUUAAGAAAUUAUUUAACACGAUGUGAAAGAUUCGUUUAUUAUUACUUACGCUAUUCUCGACUUUAUUAAGAGAUAACUUAACACGUUGAGAAGGAUUUGUUUAUUAUUACUCCCGCUAUUUUUCGACUUUAUUAAGAAAUAAUUUAACACGAUAUGGAAGAUUCGUUUAUUAUUACUUCCGCUAUUUCUGGACUUUAUUAAGAAAUAAUUUAACACUAUGUGAAAGAUUCGUUAAUUCUUACUUCCACUAUUUCUCGAUCAUUAAGAAAUAAUUUAACACGUUGUGAAAGAUUUGUUUAUUAUUACUUACGCUAUUUCUCGACUUUAUUAAGAAAUUAUUUAACACGAUGUGAAAGAUUCGUUUAUUAUUACUUAUGCUAUUCUCGACUUUAUUAAGAGAUAACUUAACACGUUGAGAAGGAUUUGUUUAUUAUUACUCCCGCUAUUUUUCGACUUUAUUAAGAAAUAAUUUAGCACGAUGUGAAAGAUUCGUUUAUUAUUACUUACGCUAUUCUCGACUUUAUUAAGAGAUAACUUAACACGUUGAGAAGGAUUUGUUUAUUAUUACUCCCCCUAUUUCUCCACUUUAUUAAGAAAUAAUUUAACACGAUAUGAAAGAUUUGUUUAUUAUUACUUACGCUAUUUCUCGACUUUAUUAAGAAAUUAUUUAACACGAUGUGAAAGAUUCGUUUAUUAUUAUUACUUACGCUACUUCUUGAUUUUAUUAAGAAAUAAUAUAACACGAUGUGAAAGAUUCGUUUAUUAUUACUUCCGCUAUUUCUGGACUUUAUUAAGAAAUUAUUUAACACUAUGUGAAAGAUUCGUUAAUUCUUACUUCCUCUAUUUCUCGACUUUAUUAAGAAAUAAUUUAACACGAUGUGAAAGAUUUCUUAAUUCUUACUUCCUCUAUUUCUCGACUUUAUUAAGAAAUAAUUUAACACGAUGUGAAAGAUUUGUUUAUUAUUAUUACUUACGCUACUUUUUGAUUUUAUUAAGAAAUAAUUUAACACGAUGUGAAAGAUUCGUUUAUUAUUACUUACGCUAUUCUCGACUUUAUUAAGAGAUAACUUAACAGGAUGUGAAAGAUUCGUUAAUUCUUACUUCCUCUAUUUCUCGACUUUAUUAAGAAAUUAUUUAACACGAUGUGAAAGAUUCGUUUAUUAUUAUUACUUACGCUACUUCUUGAUUUUAUUAAGAAAUAAUAUAACACGAUGUGAAAGAUUCGUUUAUUAUUACUUCCGCUAUUUCUGGACUUUAUUAAGAAAUAAUUUAACACUAUGUGAAAGAUUCGUUAAUUCUUACUUCCUGUAUUUCUCGACUUUAUUAAGAAAUAAUUUAACACGAUGUGAAAGAUUUUUUUAUUAUUAUUACUUACGCUACUUUUUGAUUUUAUUAAGAAAUAAUUUAACACGAUGUGAAAGAUUCGUUUAUUAUUACUUACGCUAUUCUCGACUUUAUUAAGAGAUAACUUAACACGAUGUGAAAGAUUCGUUAAUUCUUACUUCCUCUAUUUCUCGACUUUAUUAAGAAAUAAUUUAACACGAUGUGAAAGAUUCGUUUAUUAUUACUUCCGCUAUUUCUGGACUUUAUUAAGAAAUAAUUUAACACGAUGUGAAAGAUUCGUUUAUUAUUAUUACUUACGCUACUUCUUGAUUUUAUUAAGAAAUAAUUUAACACGAUGUGAAAGAUUCGUUUAUUAUUACUUACGCUAUUCUUGACUUUAUUAAGAGAUAACUUAACACGUUGUGAAGGAUUUGUUUAUUAUUACUCCCGCUAUUUCUCGACUUUAUUAAGAAAUAAUUUAACACGAUGUGAAAGAUUUGUUUAUUAUUAUUACUUACGCUACUUUUUGAUUUUAUUAAGAAAUAA
Vespula vulgaris is the source of this 6146-nucleotide long non-coding RNA. RefSeq lists it as uncharacterized. NCBI's taxonomy places the organism in Eukaryota, Metazoa, Arthropoda, Insecta, Hymenoptera, Vespidae. The transcript is spliced from 4 exons. The record is from RefSeq and is a predicted model, not a curated record.